RNAcentral lists this ribosomal RNA (1000 nucleotides) under Buchnera aphidicola (Prociphilus erigeronensis). Its description in RNAcentral is "bacterial SSU rRNA". It matches the Rfam family "Bacterial small subunit ribosomal RNA", at positions 329 to 1322 of the family's 1533-position model. The record is from RNAcentral. Lineage: Bacteria; Pseudomonadati; Pseudomonadota; Gammaproteobacteria; Enterobacterales; Erwiniaceae.
GUCCAGACUCCUACGGGAGGCAGCAGUGGGGAAUAUUGCACAAUGGGCGAAAGCCUGAUGCAGCUAUACCGCGUGUAUGAAGAAGGCCUUAGGGUUGUAAAGUACUUUCGUUGGGGAGGAAAAAUAAAUAGAUAAUACCUGUUUAUCGUGACGUUACCCAAAAAAGAAGCACCGGCUAACUCCGUGCCAGCAGCCGCGGUAAUACGGAGGGUGCAAGCGUUAAUCAGAAUUACUGGGCGUAAAGAGCUCGUAGGCGGUUUUUUAAGUCAGAUGUGAAAUCCCUGGGCUUAACCUAGGAACUGCAUUUGAAACUAAAAGACUAGAGUAUCGUAGAGGGAGGUAGAAUUCUAGGUGUAGCGGUGAAAUGCGUAGAUAUCUGGAGGAAUACCUGUGGCGAAAGCGGCCUCCUAAAUGAAUACUGACGCUGAGGUGCGAAAGCAUGGGGAGCAAACAGGAUUAGAUACCCUGGUAGUCCAUGCCGUAAACGAUGUCGACUUGGAGGUUGUUUCCUUGAGAAGUGACUUCCGAAGCUAACGCGUUAAGUCGACCGCCUGGGGAGUACGGUCGCAAGGCUAAAACUCAAAUGAAUUGACGGGGGCCCGCACAAGCGGUGGAGCAUGUGGUUUAAUUCGAUGCAACGCGAAAAACCUUACCUGGUCUUGACAUCCACAGAAUUUUUCAGAGAUGAAAAAGUGCCUUAGGGAACUGUGAGACAGGUGCUGCAUGGCUGUCGUCAGCUCGUGUUGUGAAAUGUUGGGUUAAGUCCCGCAACGAGCGCAACCCUUAUCCUCUGUUGCCAUUGGUUCGGCCAGGAACUCAGAGGAGACUGCCGGUUAUAAACCGGAGGAAGGCGGGGACGACGUCAAGUCAUCAUGGCCCUUACGACCAGGGCUACACACGUGCUACAAUGGUGUAUACAAAGAGAAGCAACUCUGUAAAGACAAGCAAACCUCAUAAAGUACAUCGUAGUCCGGACUGGAGUCUGCAACUCGACUCCCGA